GCGCAGCAGGCGCGAAUACUUUACAAUGUGCGAAAGCACGAUAAGGGAACUCUGAGUGCCUCCUAAGGAGGCUGUUCAGGUGUCUAAAAGCACCUGAAGGAAGGGCUGGGUAAGACCGGUGCCAGCCGCCGCGGUAACACCGGCAGCCCAAGUGGUAGCCACGUUUAUUGGGUCUAAAGCGUCCGUAGCCGGCUGGGUAAGUUCCUUGGGAAAUUUGGCUGCUUAACAGUCAAGCUUUCAGGGAAUACUGCCCGGCUUGGGGACCGGGAGAGGUCAGAGGUACUCCAGGGGUAGGGUGAAAUCCAUUAAUCCUUGGGGGACCACCGGUAGCGAAGGCGUCUGACCAGACCGGGUCCGACGGUGAGGGACGAAGGCUAGGGGCGCGAACCGGAUUAGAUACCCCCGUAGUU
This 410-nucleotide ribosomal RNA is filed under the name uncultured microorganism. RNAcentral's name for it is "bacterial SSU rRNA". It matches the Rfam family "Archaeal small subunit ribosomal RNA", at positions 330 to 746 of the family's 1478-position model. The record is from RNAcentral.